CUCAGGUGAAUUUUUCUUCCGAAGAGGCAAGGAGUGAAGUUGCUUCAGACCUGCCAGUAACUCGGGAUGCUUCCCUAGAAGUCAUCCAUGGAGCUCCUCAGACUAUCUUUUGUGAACUGGAACUCACCUUCUGUUUCAUUAUGUGGCAAGAAUGACAUCUAUAGAUGCCCAGGCACACCACAGUACCAGGCGUUAUCAGUACCAGCUCACCUUCCUUUCCCUAUUUGGAAAGAGGACUAACUUUCUAGCUCAUUACAGACAUCCCUUCCCCUUCCUCUCCACUUUCUUUUACAUGCCCACCUUAUCCAAAAAAAAAAAAAAAAAAUCAAAUGUUUAGCCAGCCGGGAUUACUUUAGAUUGUACGACCGGACCCCAGCCAACGAGGAAAGGGUACAGGGGCAGGACUUGCAUCAGGAAUAAAGGCUCUCAUGUCCCUUUGUUCAGGUGUGCUCUCAUGGCGACUGGCCAAGGAGGCACCCCUCUGCGCAGAAGUAAAAUUGCUUUUUUAAGAAUCCUUUGAACGAAUGUUCAAUUUCCUUAGGAUUUUGAGCGUUAUUCCUAACAACUGUUAAGUAGAAGAAUUAGGAUUUGAACUCAAGUUGAGACAGUGCAAGUGGCAGCUAUAUCAAUAAUCUGAUAUAUUUAGAGAAAAAAAUUAAGGAGGUAUUAAAAUACUAUUUAUAAUAUCUGAAAAUCCCUUUAUUUGUUGAAAAAAAUACUAGGGGCCUAUUGAGUGUCUAUUAAGUGCUUGUCUCCAGAGUAAAGGCAAAGAAUAAGAACUAAAAACACUCAUUCCCUUUAAAGUGGGUGUUGCAGGUGCGACUGGCUGGGGCCAGUGUCGUCGUGGGUGGUAAAGGAUUUUACCAAGACAUUCGUAGGUGAAGAAAGGAAGAUUUAUUACAGGGAAAGUAUGUUGAAGGGAAACAACAGGCAGCACAGCAGAGAAGGGGUUGUCUGCAAAGAGGCAGGGGCUGGAGGGAAGUUUUGUAGGCCUGUGCUAAAGAGGCUACGUGCAGAAAGAGGUGUUUGGGAACAGGAUGUUGUGCCAGUAGGUUGCUUGCAAUUAGCCAUUUCUCAGAGCAUUUGUUUUCCCUUACCUGGGACCCCUUCCUUGUUGUUGCUUACCUAUCUUAUCAGGACUCCACAGUGGACCUCAGUCUCCCAUGAAAAACAGCAGAUGGGUAAAUAAGCAAUCACUCUGGUGAGAUAAACUCAUAGGGGAUAUGGGACAACAAAGAAGGAGCACCUAGCUUAGACUGGGUGGAGGAAAUACCUAGGUUGAAACAUAAAGAGUCAGGUAGGUAAAAAUGAAGAGGAAAGUUGCUCUACCUAGAGAGUGUGAAGGCCUAGAUGCAAAAGACAACAGGACUCAUUCUCAGAAUUGGGGCAGCUUAGGAUGGCAGAAAAAAAAAAAAAAAGAAAUAAGAGAUGAGACUGGGAGAAGACUCUAGAUCCUAAGCCACUUUAUUUGAGUCUUGACAAGAAAUUAAGCAAGAAUCUUGAGAGUUAUGCAGAGCCCUUGGAGAGUUUUAAGCAGAAUGGCAUCGCCAGAUAAACCAUUUUAAAAGACUGCUCUGAUUGCUAAGCAAAGAAUGGGUUAGAAAUUGGCAAAGAGUGAAAUUUUAGACAGAGAAGUUAGAAAACUUUUGUGGUAAUCCAUGAAAAAUAUAGUAGCAGCUUAAAGGAAGAAGGUUGGCAGUGAGCCCUAAGAUAAAGAUAAAUUUACUAUAUCUUUGAUUCAUUUUUUAUUGUGCUGUUGUGGUGGAUCUAGUCAGAUAUUAACAUAACUAAUAGAACUUUUGAAAGGGUGUACUUUUUUUUUUGAGACAGAGUCUCGCUCUGUCACCCAGGCUGGAGCGCAAUGGCGUGAUCUCAGCUCACUGCAACCUCUGCCUCCCGGGUUCAAGCGAUUCUCCUGCCUCAGACUCCUGAGUAGCUGGGAUUACAAGCGCGUGCCACUACACCUGGCUAAUUUUUGUAUUUUUAGUAGAGACAGAGUUUCACCUGUUGGUCAGCCUGGUCUCUAACUCCUGACCUCAUGUUCCGCCCGCCUCGGACUCCCAAGUGCUGGGAUUAGAGGCGUGAGCCACUGCACUCAGACAAAAGGGUGUACUUUUUAUUAUUAAAGAUGAAUAUUCAAUAUGCAGUAGCUGGAAUUUUUAGUAGUGUGAAUUUUAGUGGGAUUUAUGUACAUAUAGACCUUCUCAAAUUUUUAUAUAGUAGGUGUCUUAUCGAUAAAUCAGAAAAGUUUUCUAGCCAUAAUUUGAGCAGUUUGAACUAAUAAUGACGCAUAUAUUUAAUGCAAUGCUUUUAUAUUCCAAAACUGAGGCUGAAUUACAUAUAUAAUACAUACAAUUAAAAUUUGUGACUUGCAAACUAAGAAACAAGAAGUCCUAAAUGUCAAUGCAAGCCUUAAUUGUAGAUAUAAAUUGAAAAGAUAAUUAACUCUCUAGUACGUCUUAGAACGUCUUGUUACUGUUAAUUUCAAUAAAGUCUGUAGAAAACCAAACAUUCAUCAUAAUUGACUAAAUAUGAAAGACUAUAAGGCAUAGUUUAAUCUUUACUAACAUAACAAGUUAGAUUUCCUAUGGGUACAGUUUGAAAAAGUAAUCCAAGAGAAAUGAAAGUUAAUUUACAACACAGUCAAGUUUGAAAUUAUGAACAUAGAAAAGAAUAAUAGUUGAUAAAUAGCUUAUUAACAAAGAUGUAUUUUCUCAUACUUCCUCCUUCGAUUCCUACCUAUAGACUUAUUUGAGCUUUGUGAUAGAACAUAAUACUCAUCAGGUAAGGCAGAUUAGUAUCUCACUUUUUUAUUUCAUUAUACUUCACAUUUUCCAAAAAAUAUUUAAGAUUGCUUAAACAGAUAAAAAAUAAGACAAAAGAAAAAAAGUUUAGAAAAAUAAGCUAGAUGCAGGUGGAAGGCAAUCUACUGAAUUUGGCUGUGUUCACAAUUUGGUUGCAAUGUUUUCUAGUUAUAUGACUGUGGAUGAUUAUUUAUUCUUUCUGUUCUUAGUUUCUUCAUUUGUAAAAUAGGAUUAAUAACAAUAUGCAUAUCAUAGGAUUCUGAGAAUUAAAUGGAAUAAUCCAUAUAAAAUAUUUUAUAGGAUACUAGUGAGACAGCUAAGUAAAAAGGAGUCCCCAGAGGUUCUCCCAAUAGCCUAUGCACUGGGAGGAUGGGGUGGAGCCUCAGGAAGUUUGCUCCCUUUGCAUGGGGGAGAAGCCUGGCCUCUCCUGUUCCUGUGUGGUAACCUGGGAUUCAAUCUGUGAGAUGGGGGCCUGUUAACAGGAACCGCUUUUGCUUUGCUGAGUUUUUUCCUUUUAGCUGAAUAAAUUCCAUUCCUCCUCACCCUUCAAAGUGUCUGUGAGUCUGUCACGUAACAAGAACCCGUUUUUUUCUACAACACUACCUUGUGGUAAGCACUUCAUAAAUAUUAAUCAUGUUUAAAAAACAAACCUCCAUGAAUAAAUCUUCUAUGCUCCAAAGCUCAUAGAGCAAAACAAAUCCAUUGAUAACAAGUAUUCCUCUAUUUGAGAGUGAAGAAAGUUGUAUAGUGGAGAUCCUAACAGAGAGGACAGUACGUAAUGGAAUGGGUCUCAUCCUCAACAACAUCAUUUCAUAAAUACAACAAUGACCUGCUUAAGACUCUUUAUUUUAAGGCCCAUUGACAUAGGGCAGCAAUGAUAAACCAAAAUGUAACUCAGUUAAAAAUAAAUUCUGCAUCAAACCAAUUUGGUAUGAUCCCAGUGAAUGUCUUGAUAAUGACCUGACUAAAUCAAAGUAUAAAAUAUGGAAUAACUAGAUUAACAAUGGGCUGAAUAUUUUUCAAGAAAAUUUCCAGAAAUAUAUUUCUCAGUAUUGCUAAGCUCCUGAAAGAUAUUUAAGAGCACUGAGCUUCAGAUUAUAUUCUAUUAUAAUUGAUAUAACAUAAAUCUUAUCUUUAAAGCCUCCUGGAGAUUAUUUACACCAGAAAAAAAGCAUUGCUAGGAAGAGAUAAUGUAUCUUUGCGAUAUUCUAAGAGAGAACAAUAAGCAAGUCUUAACGAAGACAGUGGCCCCUGGUAUGCUGCAAUUUUUGGUUUAAUAUAUGUGUAUAUAUAUAUGAACACACAUAUAUAUGAAGUAUCUAUUUGUAAAUUGUUGUAUUUAUAUAUAUAUGCACAUAAACACACACACAUAAACAAAUAUCUCCAAUCCUGAAUUUAAGAACUGCUACAUUGCAGAGUAACAUAUUAAAAUUGUAAUAAAUAAUUGUCUAUGCAAUCAGUAAACAUUUAUCGAGUGCCAGUUAUGUGAAAGGCCCUGUAUUAGGCUCUGAAAACACAGUGGUGUACAAUAAAGGUGAGACCACUAUCCUCCUGGAGCUUACAUGGUUGUGUUGGUGAGAGAUGAGGAGGCAUUAGGUAUUAAAAAUACCCUUUUCUUCCCCAUCUUAUAACUGAUCCUAAAUAAGACAGAAGGGAUAGGCAGGAGAAGAUCAAAAUGACCAGACCAUGUGGUUACAAAUAAGUGGUGGGACAGGUCAAUGAGAAGAGCAGAAGCCUUGAAGGUCAUGGAAAGUAAUUUAAAUUUUAUUCUGUGUGCAAUGAAAAGGAAUUAAAGGCUUUUAAGUAGGGAUCAGUGUUACAUAAUUUAAAUUGUGCAAAUGUCAUGAUGUAGCCUAUGGGAAUUUGAUAGAUAUCAAGAGUGGAAGCACUGAAGCUUUUAAUGGACACAAAGAGUUGAUUCUCAGACUAGAAUAACAGUGGGGAAGUAGAGAAGAGGAUGGAUUAGAAAAAUAUUUUGGAGAGAAAACGAAGCUCUUUAAUUUUGUUUAAUGCAAACACACAUUUGAUUUUUUAAGAAAAUAUUUUACAGAACAUCUUUUAAUAGCCUGAUAGAGUUCCAGAAGACUUGGGAAAUGUUAACAGAAGCAGUUCAUCCAAACUUUUUCCACCUCAUACCACUGAGCAGCAAAAACAAGUAGGAAGGACUGUCGUUGUCAAACACAUUCUACAUACUGAAAAUAACCCUCAUCAAUAAUAAAAUAGUCUGUUACUAAAAUUAGAAGAUAGGCAGCUCUGAUCUACCUUCAGACCCCACUGGGUUAAGAAUAUGAGAAUGAUGGGUAAGGUAAGGAUGCCCAGACAUGUGAUAUCUAUGGUGAACAGAAGCAGAGACAGCAAGAGCCGAAGUAAGAAAUGGAGAACAGAUAUUGUUAAGAGUGUGCUGAAGCUCAGUUUCAAGCAAUAAAUAAGAUUCGCUGAAUGCUUACAAGGAAACACAAUCAAGCAAGCCAGGUGUGCAGUAAUCAGAGACCAACUGGCUCUUUUUGUGUCUAGAAUGAAUUUUAAAGAAAGACAGUCUCUGGAAUAGAGGAUGAAAUCAAAAGGAAAAUGACUCUUUUGUGUCUACAAUGUGUUCCAGGGAGAAAUGACUAUUGAGAAUUUACUGCUUCUUUUUCUUAUCAGUCAAACACACAAAUAGCAAUUGCUAAAUAUUAGUAACACUUUGUAUUUUAUGCCCAGGAAAGAAAACAAAAAUAAAUAAGUAAAAAUGAAAAUAAAUCUUACAUCUCAAAAUAUUUCACAAAUUACCUCACUUAAUCCUCCGAUAUGCUGAUUCCCAUAAACACAACAAACUUUCACCACAAAAAAGUUUGGAUGUCUUAAUUUAUAGACCUUAUUGCUCUCUGCCUUUUCCUCCUUACCUAUCUUUAGGAAAAACACUCCUAUUUCAUUUGUUUCAUAGAUUGAUACUUAGUUGAACAUUCUACAAAUGCUGUUGCUUAGCAACCUAUUCACAGCACCCCAUCUAAGUCUUCAUCUAUUAACCUUUUCAUCUGUCCAUUAAGCUUGGUCCUUGUACUCCAGUGAAUAAACAAAACUUUGCUAGAUUAUCAUUCCUUUUUUUUUGUCAGUUUUUAAAAACUUCUGUGACUUUUCUGAUUCAACUAUCUAAUCUGUCUCUCAUUGCAGAUUACUGAACAAGUGUCAGGGAGCAAAAUGUAUGAACGAGUUUCCAGUUCUGCAUUGCUCAUGAAAAAUUUGAACUGUAUGUUAUAAUUUCAGAGUAUGCUAAAAAAAAACAAUCAUUUUACAGAGUUACCAGUGUCUUUGAAUCCAAAAUGUCAAACAAAAUUUACUAAAUUCAUAUUAAGGGUAACAGAUCAUGAACAGUAAAAUAGUAACCAAAAUUGUGAAUACUGAAAACAAAAGAAAAACUACACUACAGAAUCAAAACAAACUUCAACGGUAACGCAACUUCUGGCAGAGGCUAUCUUUAUUUUCAAUUUGACAUUUUACAAAAAAGCUAAAAAAGAGAUCAAUCAAAUACAAAAAUUCUAAAAGAUGACAUGAGCUUCUCUUAUGAUACUGGUGUCAAUAAAAUAGCUAAUUCACCUCAAGCAUGCUGUGAGGCAGAAGACAUUUAGAGUAUACACAGUGUACUGGAAAUUGUUAUAGUUUUUGUAACUUGUGUGAUAACUCACACAUCAUUGCCUUUUUCUGAAAUUAAAACAUCUCCAAAGCUUUCACAGAUUCUGAAUCACUCCAUAUUAAUUCACAACUCAAGAAAUAUUCAUUAUGCAACUUCUUUAAUUUUCUCUACCAAGAAAAAGUCAAAUUAAAUGUGUUGCUCUCAGCAGACAUGAAAUAUGCCCAGUACUAAAUGUAUUUUUAAGAAAAAAAAUAGUAAAAUUAAAUGCAAACUAUAGGAUAGUUAUGGGGGGAUCUACCUUGGCAAAUUUUUCACAUUCCAGUGAAAAAUAUGCAAUUUGAAUUCUUUCAAUAUUAUACAUUUUCUAAAGAAUCAAUAUCAUAUAAGUUAUAGAGAAUUCUGAUUCCAAAACACAAAGCUUAUCAAUAGUUCUAGGAAUUUUGUAUAUGACUAUUAUGCAUAUGAUAUACAUUUUAUUAAACAGAGUAAGAUUUGGAAUAUUCUGAAUGAACUAUAUCAAAAAAUAACUAAGGGACAUUUUAUUAAUUAUUUGCACUCCAUUUAGUUAUUUUUACAUGCAAACUUCUCACAUGCAAGGUGGUCAGAAACUAAAUCAAUAAAAGAAGAACCAGAUGAAUAAAGUAUAGAGAAGUGGAUAUGAAAGCACUGCAAAGCCAUUCUGAAAACAAUGAAUCUUGUUUGCCCUUUUGGACAUAAAGCUGGCAACUAGCAAGGAGAUGGUUCAAGAUAUUCUGUCUCUGAGAAGGCUCACCAAAGAUAUUUUAAGAGUUAUUUAAGCUUUUUAUGAAGUCUUCCCAGAAUCUUUAGAUAAAAGUUCAGCUGCGGAGUAUGUAUGACAUAUUAUCUCUAUAAUGUGUGCCACAGUCCAUCCAUUAGCAUGUCUACUUCAGUGAAACCAGGUCUGUACCUUCUCAACAGUUAUC
RNAcentral lists this long non-coding RNA (7358 nucleotides) under Homo sapiens (human). RNAcentral's name for it is "HSALNT0141950". Lineage: Eukaryota; Metazoa; Chordata; Mammalia; Primates; Hominidae. The record is from RNAcentral.